AACGAACGCUGGCGGCAGGCUUAACACAUGCAAGUCGAGCGCUCUCUUCGGAGGGAGCGGCGGACGGGUGAGUAACGCGUGGGAACGUGCCUUUCUCUACGGAAUAGCCUCGGGAAACUGAGAUUAAUACCGUAUACGCCCUUAGGGGGAAAGAUUUAUCGGAGAGAGAUCGGCCCGCGUUGGAUUAGGUAGUUGGUGGGGUAACGGCCUACCAAGCCGACGAUCCAUAGCUGGUUUGAGAGGAUGAUCAGCCACACUGGGACUGAGACACGGCCCAG
RNAcentral lists this ribosomal RNA (278 nucleotides) under uncultured bacterium. RNAcentral's name for it is "partial 16S ribosomal RNA". It matches the Rfam family "Bacterial small subunit ribosomal RNA", at positions 29 to 334 of the family's 1533-position model. The record is from RNAcentral.